GGGUCCCGAUUCAUUAUGUACACAGCAGAGCACCUACUAUCUGUAAAGAAUUACUGUGCCAGACCUUGAGGAAACACAAGAUACAGUCCUCACCCUUAAGGGGCUUACAGUCGGGGGAGAGCGGGAGAAUCCAGUAAUUACUGUGACACGGUGAAGAGCUACAACAGAGACAUACACACAACACAGAGGAAG
Molecule: long non-coding RNA, 192 nt
Organism: Lontra canadensis (Northern American river otter)
Lineage: Eukaryota; Metazoa; Chordata; Mammalia; Carnivora; Mustelidae
Exons: 4
Source: RefSeq, a predicted model, not a curated record